CAUAAGUCAGCUGAUUCCUAAAUCUUUUUAUAUUUGUGGAUUGAAAUUCUUCAACAGAGAAGUUUAUCGCGAAUUUAUUUAACAACAAACCGUAUCCCCUAGCUAUAAUGGAUUGGAUUACUGUGCUAGUGCUAGUUGUAUUUAGUGUCCAAAUAACUCAACAAGUUGAUUAUGACUGCAAUGAUCUAUUAAUGGGUCAGUAUCUAUGUCCAGAUCCAACUAAAAAACUAAUCGAUCCCAAAACGCAACAAUUUUAUGGGUGUACAAAAGAAAAUAAAGCAAGAGUUCGGUGCCUAGCUGUCGAUGGCAUAAAUUGCACGGAAACUGGCAACAACACCUUCACGCGCGAAUUACCAUGCAAGUGGACAAAUGGUUAUCACCUUGACACCACAUUGCUGCUAUCCGUGUUCUUGGGUAUGUUUGGUGUCGACCGUUUCUACUUAGGCUAUCCCGGUAUUGGUUUGAUAAAAUUCUGUACAUUGGGUGGCAUGUUCCUGGGUCAACUAGUUGACAUUGUCCUCAUAGCUACACAAGUUGUAGGCCCAGCAGAUGGUUCAGCAUAUGUGAUACCAUAUUAUGGGGCGGGAGUAACAAUUGUGCGUAGUGACAAUUCAACGUAUCGCUUGCCACGCGAUGACUGGUGAAACAGAAGUAAUUAAUGUAGUAAGCAUUAAUGCCAUCUGAAGAGCUGGCAGCGUUAGUUGUUAAAGAUAACUGGGUUUUAGCAGUUUUAGAUUUGAAGCUGACUUUUUCGGUUUAGUUUACC
Molecule: unclassified non-coding RNA, 766 nt
Filed under: Rhagoletis pomonella (apple maggot)
Lineage: Eukaryota; Metazoa; Arthropoda; Insecta; Diptera; Tephritidae
Description: tM2 domain-containing protein CG10795-like, transcript variant X2
Source: RNAcentral